CCUAGUAGUCGUCGAGUCGUAAGCGGGAAGAGCUCAAAUUUAUAAUCUGGCACCUUCGGUGUCCGAGUUGUAAUCUCUAGAAAUGUUUUCCGCGUUGGACCGCACACAAGUCUGUUGGAAUACAGCGGCAUAGUGGUGAGACCCCCGUAUAUGGUGCGGACGCCCAGCGCUUUGUGAUACAUUUUCGAAGAGUCGAGUUGUUUGGGAAUGCAGCUCAAAUUGGGUGGUAAAUUCCAUUAAGCUAAAAUAUUGGCGAGAGACUCGAUAGCGAACAAGUACCGUGAUGGGAAAGAUGAAAAGCACUUUGGAAAGAGAGUUAACAGUACGUGAAAUUGUUGGAAGGGAAACGCUUGAAGUCAGACUUGCUUGCCGAGCAAUCGGUUUGCAGGCCAGCAUCAGUUUUCCGGGAUGGAUAAUGGUAGAGAGAAGGUAGCAGUGUUCGGCUGUGUUAUAGCUCUCUGCUGGAUACAUCUUGGGGGACUUUACCAACGCAGGUGCCUUUGGCGGGUUUCUCAACCUCACAGCUAGAUGCUGUGAUGCUUG
This 543-nucleotide ribosomal RNA is filed under the name Rhodotorula mucilaginosa. RNAcentral describes it as "eukaryotic LSU rRNA". It matches the Rfam family "Eukaryotic large subunit ribosomal RNA", at positions 79 to 613 of the family's 3401-position model. Lineage: Eukaryota; Fungi; Basidiomycota; Microbotryomycetes; Sporidiobolales; Sporidiobolaceae. The record is from RNAcentral.